This is a long non-coding RNA of Felis catus (domestic cat), 4229 nucleotides long. RefSeq lists it as uncharacterized. Lineage: Eukaryota; Metazoa; Chordata; Mammalia; Carnivora; Felidae. The record is from RefSeq and is a predicted model, not a curated record. The transcript has 2 exons.
GGGGGGGGGCGGGGCGGGGGGGCUCCGGGCCAAUCGCCUUAGUCCCCGCGGCCUCGGCCCCCUCCCCGUGCCCUGCGGACCCCUCCGGCCUUCGCUGGGGGAAGGAGGAGAGAUGGGGAAGGAUGGGGGCUUCGAUUGCAGCCCCUUCUCUCUCUCUCUCUCCCUGUCCCGGUGUCCCCUCCGCCGGUAGUUUUCAGAACGAGGUGACGGCCUGCUAGACGGAGCCCCGCUGUCUCCCCCGCUCCUCCCGGCCGGGGCUGGGCUGGAAAGGGAGCGAGGACACUGAUGGCGCGCCAGCCGUUCAGGCCCCUGGCGUCGCUAGCCCCGGAGUAUACUUGUACCUCACGCUUCCCCCGCGGCCAGCGCCUCCUGCCUUUCUUUGAGCGCCUGCGAGGCGCGACGGCCCCAAGGGAUCCGCCCGGGAAUGGCCGCAGUCUCUGGGGAAGCUCUCCACUCCCAGAGACUGUGAUUCUGGGGACCCUCACGAUCCCCCAGACAGGGGUACAUGCAUUUGGUUGUCGGAUUCCAGCGUACCCGGAAUCUGCCCACCCGCCUCGGUUCUUCUACAAAAUCCAGUGUUCUCCUUUAGGAGACCUUGGCCCGGGUGAUGGGUUGUGGGGAACCACCUACAGGAAGGGACUGCUGGAGGCGGAACAGCCCUCAACCUGAAAGGACCCGUGCCCAAACUGAAGGGCAGGCAUCUCCUUCUCCCCCUCCUCGCCCUUCCCUUAUGCUCACAAACCCCAGCUCCCUGCUACUUUUUAUAACGCUUUAUUCGAGAUCCUGCUACACAUCCAGAAAACAAUCCCACCCUACGGAAUUCAUUUCUGCACUCCAAAUGCUGGGCGCGAGACGGGCUCAGAUACCCAGUGUUGGUGAGGACAAGAAGGGUUACAGCUACAUGUGACCAGUGGCUGCCGUAUCAGACCACUUCCAAAUGGAAGCAAGUCCCAGAAGACCAGGAAGUCACCCCAGGUGGGCAGCGAGCAGAAAGAGAAGAGACGUCUGGUCCGGAGUGCAUUGUGCUGGGAAGACUAACUCACGUUCAGGCAACUUUUGUCUCAGUUGUUUGAGUACAUUUUGUGUCCUGGUUGGCAUGAAAAUGUAUUCUUACUGGGAGUCACGGUGAGGAAUGGGCGAGGCUCGAGGCUAUAGUGACCAGAGUCUCCUGUCUCCUUGGUGGAGGAGGGAAAGAGGCUGAGAGGGACCAGGGGACCCACCCACAAGUCACACAGCCAGAGGAGCUGUUCUGGAGCCCAGCUUCCCAGGCUCUGAGUUCUGAGCCUGCAUUUCAUGGCUUCUUCCCUGACCUUGACCUCUAUCACCAUUGUUAUGACCCCCCCACACACACACACACACACAUACAAUAAAGGACUGCCUUGUGGUCAGCCCCACCAGGGCACACCUGUCCCCGGGUCAGCCAUACCUCCUCCUCAGUCCUCAACCUCAAUUCCCAAAAAGGUCCCUUCAGUCUUUAUAAAAGAGAAAGCCCCAGAGGCCUGACCUCCCCGUGGCCCCCUCCUCCCUGGCCUGGGGCAUCAGCUGUUGACUGCAGCUGCCCUGAGGCUGAGGGGAGCCACAGGUGUGGGACCAGACCUCCCCAGGCUGCAGGCCCGCUGGCCUCCUCCGGCCCCAGCCUGCUGUUGACCUUCAGCGGGUCUUGGCAAGGCACUCAGCAAGGCCCCAGAGGAGACCCCCGAAGGGAAACACAAACCUCGAAAUGGAUUUUCUUUUUCUCCACGAGCAAAAAAAAGUUGAAUAAGAAAUAAGUUACUAUUUUUACUGCUGGGAUCCGGUUGUUAUGGUAACUGAGGGCCUCGAGGGAGUCAGGGUUGGCCCGCCAGUGAAGGAGAUGAGGUGGGUUCCAGGGGCAGCGGUGGCAGCCACCGGACGAGCCUUGGACUACCUACCGACUGUGGGAUUUCUGGCACCCCUGCCCCUGGCUCUGCGCCCCCCCCCCCCCCCCGCCGUGACGAAAGGCCACCUGUGCCCAUAUAACACUGGCCAGUGGCCCCUGGCAACUUCUCCCUUUGGUGCAAGCCCACCAUCUCCUGCUGGCUGUGUGGUCUCGGGCUCCCCCGGCCUUGUCGCCGAGCCUGUCCUUCACUGCUCCUGGGGGGGGGGGGGUCAUUGUGCCCUCAUCUCCACAUGCAGCUUUCGACCCCCGCCACAGUGAGCACCACGGGCAUCUGAGCGAUCAGCCCCACGAGCCCUGCUGGCCAAAACCCAAUUCUUCCCUCUGCCGUUCCUCUUCCAGCCCCCUCUCCAGAAGGCGGCCCCACACCACCCCCUGGGCCCGGUUGGCCGUGGCUGGAAGCUCUGAACGCGGCCUUCCCAGGAUCCGAGGCCGGCCUCCACCUCCACCUAGCUUUGUGCCCUGAACCCAGGUGCUUCCCAUUCGAGGCUCAGUUUCCCCACUUGUAAAGUGGAAGUUAACAGCACCCACCCUGCAGGAUUACUGAAGGAACAAAGGCCACCUGGGCCCGAUGUUAUUACUGGCAAUGUGUCUCCCCAUUCAGUCCCCUCUGUAGCACUACAUGGUAGGAGGUGCCGUUCCUAAUUUGCGGACAAGGAGCCGUGCUCAGGCAGGCCAAGUCCCACAACAAGCCACACAGCACAUCUGUCUGUGCUGAAGUGCCCUGCACUGCAUGGGCACGGAUUAAACACCUACCGUGUUCCCGGCUCAUCAGAUGCGCAGAGUGGCAAGCAGGUAGGGAGAUAACACCCCCCACCACCACACGCCCGCCAACCACCAGCGCUUUUCAUCCCUUCCCUAGAGCCCUGACCACGUCACCAGUCUCCUCCCACACGACCGACCUCUGCCACCUGUCCCCAGGACCCAAUGGCACCCUCUGAUGUGAUCCUUCUCCUCCCUCCUAGCGACUUCCAUCCCCGAUCAGUACCUACGACAUGGGCCCCUAUAUACGCCUAGCAGUGUCUGCCUGCAAAGUCCUCGUUGUCUCUGGCAAAGCCACAAAUCUUCCCUACCAGAGUGACUUUCUGAAACGCAAGUCUGACGAAGCCCCUCUCCCUAAAACCCUUCAGUGGCUCCCACUGCCUUCAGGAUGGAGUCAGGAUAGAAAAACGACCUCACCCACUGUGCACACGCAGUAAAUGAAUCCAAACUCCCCCCAAACAUGCAUGGCUUUCUCGUGCUCUGUGGCUACACAGAUGCUGUUCCCUCUGCCUGGAAGGCCUUUCCUCCUUAGUUUGCCUGGCAGAUCUCUAUUUAUUCUUCCAGACCCAGUUUAAAGUUCUCCUUUGUUGGACCUUUAGGGGAAAUGGCUUCUCCCCCCUUUUAUGCCACCUUUGAACCAGCGUCCGGGCCCCACGGGAUCAUCUCGUAGGUACCCACCAGCCAAGGACUACCAGGACCGGUGCCUGUGGUAAGGUUUAUCAAUCGGCUGCAAUCAGGGGGAGGGCCCAAUGUGGGGAACUGGAGGGGUCUCCAUGAGGGCCGUUAGGAAGGACUUUCGGCAGAAUUUGUACUUGCCUUAGGUACUUAGGGAAGUUCAAGGUAGCGUCACUUUACUGAGGCCCUCCUUUUUAUUGGACACUCAGGGGGCGCCUGGGUGGCUCGGUCACUUAGGCGUCUGACUUCGGCUCAGGUCAUGAUCUCGCAGUUUGUGGGUUCAAACCCCACAUCGGGCUCUGUGCUGACAGCUGGGAGCCUGAAGCGGCUUCGGAUUCUGUGUCUCCCUCUCUCUCUGCCCCUCCCCCACUAGCACUGUCUCUUUCUUUCAAAAAUAAAUAAAACUUUAAAAAAAAAAAAAGGAAAAAGACCUUAGGGGUCAAUAUGAAAGUGGAGUGCACUCUGCAGACAGGCAGGAACAAUUUUUAAAUCCUCCAUCAGUCCCUUGUGCCACUAGGGAUGGGGCAACUCUCUGAAAUGGAAACAUGAUGAAAGCUCAGAUCUCCACAUUGAAGCCGUCUUCAGGCACGGGGCCACCAGUUUGCAAACGUCACUCUUUCAAGGCGCCCUCCACUUUCUUUGGGCUCUCGCCACUCCCUGUACCUUCAAAUAGUACCUGUAUCUGUAGCUUAGCUGUAAUCUAUCCAUACAUAUAUGCACGUGUAUAUAUACACAUAUACGUGUAUGUGUAUAUGCAGACACUUGUGUAUUCUAUAUACACGUGUAUAUCUCAGAUUUUAUAAUGUAUAUUCCAGAUUACAUGUGAUGUAUGGUGUUAAAUAACAAAACUUCAAACCUAGUAAAAUUUAUAUAUAUA